Molecule: ribosomal RNA, 446 nt
Filed under: uncultured bacterium
Lineage: Bacteria
Description: partial 16S ribosomal RNA
Rfam family: Bacterial small subunit ribosomal RNA
Source: RNAcentral
CCUACGGGGGGCAGCAGUCGAGAAUCAUUCACAAUGGGGGAAACCCUGAUGGUGCGACGCCGCGUGGGGGAAUGAAGGUCUUCGGAUUGUAAACCCCUGUCAUGUGGGAGCAAAUUAAAAAGAUCGUACCACAAGAGGAAGAGACGGCUAACUCUGUGCCAGCGGCCGCGGUAAUACAGAGGUCUCAAGCGUUGUUCGGAAUCACUGGGCGUAAAGCGUGCGUAGGCUGUUUCGUAAGUCGUGUGUGAAAGGCGCGGGCUCAACCCGCGGACGGCACAUGAUACUGCGAGACUAGAGUAAGGGAGGGGGAACCGGAAUGCUCGGUGUAGCAGUGAAAUGCGUAGAUAUCGAGAGGAACACUCGUGGCGAAGGCGGGUUCCUGGACAUUAACUGACGCUGAGGCACGAAGGCCAGGGGAGCGAAAGGGAUUAGAUUCCCGGGUAGUC